RNAcentral lists this ribosomal RNA (900 nucleotides) under uncultured archaeon. Its description in RNAcentral is "bacterial SSU rRNA". It matches the Rfam family "Archaeal small subunit ribosomal RNA", at positions 455 to 1354 of the family's 1478-position model. The record is from RNAcentral.
GUGUCAGCAGCCGCGGUAAAACCAGCACCUCAAGUGGUCAGGAUGAUUAUUGGGCCUAAAGCAUCCGUAGCCUGCUUUGUAAGUUUUCGGUUAAAUCCAUAUGCUCAACAUAUGGGCCGCCGGGAAUACUGCACAGCUAGGGAGUGGGAGAGGUAGACGGUACUCGGUAGGAAGGGGUAAAAUCCUUUGAUCUAUUGAUGACCACCUGUGGCGAAGGCGGUCUACCAGAACACGUCCGACGGUGAGGGAUGAAAGCUGGGGGAGCAAACCGGAUUAGAUACCCGGGUAGUCCCAGCUGUAAACUAUGCAAACUCGGUGAUGCGUUGGCUUGUAGCUAGCGCAGUGCCGCAGGGAAGCCGUUAAGUUUGCCGCCUGGGAAGUACGUACGCAAGUAUGAAACUUAAAGGAAUUGGCGGGGGAGCACCACAAGGGGUGAAGCCUGCGGUUCAAUUGGAGUCAACGCCAGAAAUCUUACCCGGAGAGACAGCAGAAUGAAGGUCAAGCUGAAGACUUUACCAGACAAGCUGAGAAGUGGUGCAUGGCCGUCGCCAGCUCGUGCCGUGAGGUGUCCUGUUAAGUCAGGUAACGAGCGAGACCCUUGCCUCUAGUUGCCACCAUUACUCUCAGGAGUAGUGGGGCGAAUUAGCGGGACCGCUGCAGUUAAUGUGGAGGAAGGAAAGGGCCACGGCAGGUCAGUAUGCCCCGAAACUCUGGGGCCACACGCGGGCUGCAAUGGUAAUGACAGUGGGUUUCGAAUCCGAAAGGAGGAGGUAAUCCUCAAACAUUACCACAGUUAUGACUGAGGGCUGCAACUCGCCCUCACGAAUAUGGAAUCCCUAGUAACUGCGUGUCAUUAUCGCGCGGUGAAUACGUCCCUGCUCCUUGCACACACCGCCCGUC